Molecule: RNase P RNA, 409 nt
Filed under: Candidatus Kaiserbacteria bacterium RIFCSPHIGHO2_01_FULL_46_22
Lineage: Bacteria; Candidatus Kaiseribacteriota
Description: RNase P RNA component class A
Rfam family: Bacterial RNase P class A
About the family: Ribonuclease P (RNase P) is a ubiquitous endoribonuclease, found in archaea, bacteria and eukarya as well as chloroplasts and mitochondria. Its best characterised activity is the generation of mature 5'-ends of tRNAs by cleaving the 5'-leader elements of precursor-tRNAs.
Source: RNAcentral
UAUUUAUGUUCGAUGGUCGCCUUUUUGCACUUAUGUGCGAAGGGGAGGAAAGUCCGGACAUACCCGCGCUUGGCGCGGAGUAGGGUAGCAGGUAAUACCUGUCGUGGGUAACCACAGGGAUGCGAGCAGAGACGCUGAUGCCGAGAGGCUAGGGUUCCUUCGGGAAUAGUUUCGUCGAAAGGCGGAAGUGAAACGGCAAAAUUCCUACUCGUAUGCAAGGCCGUAUCUUUGUGUGAUUCAUAUGAGCACACAAAUUUGAGCCGCAAGAGGUGGCUGGCGACAGUCAUCCUAGGUAUAUGACCAUCGUCCAGCCCUGCUUUUGCCAGCAGUUUCGCACAAAAUCACCAACACGUGGUAUGGCAAAAGCAGGGCUGGAUCACAAAAUCCGGCUUAUGAACAAACAAAACCC